This 253-nucleotide ribosomal RNA is filed under the name uncultured bacterium. Its description in RNAcentral is "partial 16S ribosomal RNA". It matches the Rfam family "Bacterial small subunit ribosomal RNA", at positions 524 to 776 of the family's 1533-position model. The record is from RNAcentral.
UACGUAGGGUGCAGGCGUUAAUCGGAAUUACUGGGCGUAAAGCGUGCGCAGGCGGUCUGCUAAGAGAGAUGUGAAAUCCCCGGGCUUAACCUGGGAACUGCGUUUCUAACUGGCAGGCUAGAGUGUGGCAGAGGGGGGUGGAAUUCCGCGUGUAGCAGUGAAAUGCGUAGAGAUGCGGAGGAACACCGAUGGCGAAGGCAGCCCCCUGGGCUAACACUGACGCUCAGGCACGAAAGCGUGGGGAGCAAACAGG